UUGGUGCUACACACUUGGACUAAGGAAACCAACAUACAUCCAGGUGCUGUAUUAUACGAAAUAACUUAUCGACACCGUCCUAGAUAAGUUUUCUUAAGCGUUCUUUCAACUAUUUAAACAGCAGCCGACAAUAUAUGUCGCAUAGUUAUAGUUAAUCUAUUGCAAUGUACGUCGAGUCUAGGACGUAUUUUUGAAAACAUAGAAGUUGGAUUCUAUAAAGCGCUUCGUUAAUGGAAAAUGAAAGGAUUAGUCACGGGGAAAAUUUACUAAAACAUACAUAAUUGUUCUGUGAGCAGAUAAAACCGAGAACAGUUUAUAUAGAACCGACCAUGGGAUUAUAUCUGAUGUUCGUUUUACUGAUUUGUCUUAUCAAUGGACUUGACACGGCUUCACUGACAGUGGUGGAUGUUACUUUACAGACUGAGCACACCAAUGAUAGACAUCAAUACCAUCAUAAAUUAUACUAUGCGAAUAAAAUUUGUCAUUGAUCUGUGCUCGAGACGGGAUGACAUACUGAUUGACUGGUUGAAGGAGAUAUUCGAUAAAGACGGUGACGGUUACAUAUCUUAUUUCGAGCGAAUAUACUACGACAGCAUAAUGUGAAAUGGAGAGGGUACAUGAGGUGAUCACCAAUCGAACGGCCUAUAUUAUUGAACACAACGAGAAAAUGGAGAAACAAUCUGCAUCAACAUGAUCUUCGUCGACGAGAAUACGUUUUGUCGAUGUGAAAUAUGUAUUACUUUUGUAAUUGCAACCACUUUUACGUUAUUAAGCAAUUACUCAGUAUACCAAUGGUGGGAUGAAGUAUUAAUAAUUGGUAAUAGUGCAUUUUAAAAUGUUAAUACUCAUAAGCCUCAACACUAAAAGAAUCGCAAUAAUUGCAUAGUGGACUAGAUGCAAAAGUGUUAUAUGGCAUGCACAUUACCGGGCUAAAUUGUGGCAUGGCAUAAUCCACCUGCAAUAGAUUCCAUCAGAGUUUGACCUGAUAUGAUCAUGACUGGCAUGGUUUCCAUGAUAAAGUAGUAAUUGUGUGUAAGUCUGCCAUGGCUGUUUGUAGCAGGCAUCAAUGAAAAAUGCAUUUCGAGGAAACGAGAGAAAAAAAUGAAAAAUCGAAAAAUUAAAAAUUAAAAAAUAAGCACACUAAAAUAGAUUUUCGUAAAAACCGUUUUCGUUGCACAUUAUGUAGCUCUUAAUAUGCGUUUUUCGAAUAUGUUGUUAAAUGUCUAUGACCGUUAUGUGUUGAAAUAAACAUAAUAAACAUAUGAAUCAAAAGUAUUCCCAGUGAAUUGCUCUUUUUCAUGUACACAUAUUGCUAUGAUCAGGGACCGUUUCAAUAAAGAUUUGAUUCGUAAUGUUUAAAGUUUGUAAGUGACAAAGUGUUAUUACCUUUAUAGAUAUAUGUGU
Molecule: long non-coding RNA, 1404 nt
Organism: Mya arenaria
Lineage: Eukaryota; Metazoa; Mollusca; Bivalvia; Myida; Myidae
Exons: 3
Source: RefSeq, a predicted model, not a curated record